CUUAAAGCUCAACUUUGAAAUUGCGUUAAAAACUGCUUGUCUUGAGUAUGGAAGGGGUAAAGGGAAUUCCCAGUGUAGCGGUGAAAUGCGUAGAUAUUGGGAAGAACACUAAACAGCGAAGGCACUUUACUAGGCUAAUACUGACGCUGAGAAACGAAAGGUAAGGUAGCGAAACGGAUUAGAUACCCGUGUACUCUUACCCGUAAACUAUGGACACUAAACGGUAAAUUUUUAAUUUACUGUUAAAGCUAACGCGUUAAGUGUCCCGCCUGGGGAGUAUGCUUGCAAAAGUGAAACUCAAAGGAAUUGACGGGGGCCCGCACAAGCGGUGGAGCAUGUGGUUUAAUUCGUCGGUACACGAAGAACCUUACCAGGAUUUGACAUGCUAGAUAGUUGCUUGAAGGAGUAACGUGCCGUAAGGAAUCUAGACACAGGUGGUGCAUGGCUGUCGUCAGUUCGUGUUGUGAAAUGUUGGGUUAAGUCCCGCAACGAGCGCAACCCUUGUCUUUAGUUAUUUUCUAAAGAGACUGCCUGUAAUAAACAGGAGGAAGGUAAGGAUGAGGUCAAGUCAUCAUGCCCCUUAUGUCCUGGGCUACACACGUGCUACAAUGGGAAAGACAAUGAGCUGCAAAUCUGUAAAUUUAAGCAAAUCUCUUAAACUUUCUCGUAGUUCGGAUUGUGGGCUGCAACUCGCCCACAUGAAGUUGGAAUCGCUAGUAAUCGCCAGUCAGCUAUAUGGCGGUGAAUCCGUUCCCGGGCCU
RNAcentral lists this ribosomal RNA (761 nucleotides) under uncultured bacterium. Its description in RNAcentral is "bacterial SSU rRNA". It matches the Rfam family "Bacterial small subunit ribosomal RNA", at positions 601 to 1381 of the family's 1533-position model. The record is from RNAcentral.